AGCUUUUCUCUUUGAUUUUGAUAUGUGUUCAUUUGAUUUCUGUCGGUUCCAGUCGUCCCUCCGUCCGUUCAAGUCACCAGUUGCCGAUCAGGAAUUAGCUACCCCCUCCAUUCGUCCAGUCGCCGGACGCGGGGCAGCCAUCUUCCUGGUAAGUGAUUUUUUUUUUAAUUGUAUUCUUAUUCCAUUUGUUUCCUUCUUUUUACAAGAGUUGGUAAAAUUAAUUAAUGUGGGGAUUUGGAUUUUGGUGGAAUUAGCUAUAUAUGACUUCAUUCUUUAGACUUUGCUUCCACUGUUUAGUAGAUUCAUCAAUUCACGAUCAUCAUGUUAAAUGCUAUACUAUGAAUUAUUAAAUGUAACUACCUCUGCUAUUUAAUUUUAUAGGAUGUCUAUGUAUAUUUCUUUGUGACCCAUGGUGGAUAUCCUUAAAUUAAAGUAGUAUAUAGUUUCUCGUUUUUUUUUAAAAAAAAGUAGUAUAUAGUUUCUGUGUAUUUGCCACCUCUCCAUACUACAAAAACACUAUUGAAAUACCCAUGUAAUAAUAUAAUCCUUGCCCAAACCUGAUGAAAAACUCGCAUGCAUAUUUAUACUAUAUUAAAAAUGGAGUUCUCAAUUUCAAAUUAAUUUCAAAAUUGAGUGACAAAUUUGUGAUUAUAAUAAAAUUAAAGGUUUUUUUUUUACUUGGGGGAAUAAAAUUAAAGGUUUAUUUAUAACCUAUACAUCUUUUUUUUCCUUUUUUUCUAUUUUAUUUCUUUUCUAAAAAUGUGAAAUUCGACUAAUUAUAAAAUAUUUGAUAUGCAUAUCAAAUUAAAGAUCAUGACAUGAGCUUUAAUUUGAUACUGUAAAUAUUAGAUUUAAAAUAUAAAAAAUAUAUUUGUUUAAAGAUUAAAACUUAAGAAGAUUCUCUCUCCUCUCUCCUCUUUUUUUUGAAUAAAUCUAUUUUUUUUCAAUUAUCUUUUAACUUAUAGUAUUGUUUUCUUUUUUUCACAAUAUCAAUUUUUAUUAAUGUGGAUUAUUCUUUAUUUUUUAUAUUAAACUAAAAUAUUUAUCUUAAAUUACAGUAUUUUUUAAUUAUAUUUAGAUUUUUUAUAUAAUAAUCAAAUUAAUAUAAAUUUUAUAUAUAAUAAAAUAUAAAAAUAUGUUUCGCGCGUUGCACGAGUGCAAAUGCUAGUAUGCAAAACUGGAACAAGAAAUUUAUUCAUCAUUGGAGCUAGAGUAUUUGACUAAUUAAUGGAAGAAGACCAAAUAUAAACUGAUGAUUCAUCCAAAUCCCAUAUAUAAGGAAUAUCAAAAUAAACAUAUAAGGAAUAUGAAAAUCCUUGCAAUUCGAGAACUAUGUUUUGAAAGUCUUCACAGAUUCAUUAUCAGUAUUAAUAUAUUAUUUAUAAUUAAUUAUUAUAACUAAAGUGAUUAGUAUAACUAUAACGAUUAAUUAUUAAUAUUUCUUUUUUUGUAUUCUUAUUCAUUCAUUUUAUUUUCUUAUUUUGAUGGAAUUUAUGUAAAGUGAUAGCUAAUUCUAAAAAAUUUAUAUGUUUGUUUAUAUAUGUUGUUGUAAUGGAGUAAGACAAAACAAAGGCAGAGACCAAGGAAACAGAGUUGCUACGAGGGUAAGUAUUUUCUUCAUUUUUUAUAUUUAACUAUGGCUCAAAUAGCGGCUAUGGUCUAGUUUUAAAUUUUAGAUGAGCAUGUAUCUAGAUAGUAAAUGAAGAUUAGGUUGGGGGAUAAUUGUGUUCCAUCUCAUUUUAUUGUUAUAUGGUGAUGAUCUGGAGUCGUUUACAUAUUGUUGUGUUUGAUUUGCUUUUUAGUUGUUUAAAAUUCAAUAUUCUAUAUUAUCAUGUUAAAAUUCAAUGUCCUAAUUAUAAAAUUAUAGGUUUUGUUAAAAUUUUCUAACAUCGUAUUAUUUAGACAUUAGAUAAAAUGAGCGAAAAUCGUGAGUGGAUAUAUCGGCGGUUUCUACGCGAUGGAACUUUCAAUCCCAAAUUUCAAAGAGGUUUUCAAGAAUUCAUAAAUUUUGCUAAUAGUAGAUGAGAUUUAAUGGAUGGGAAAAAGGUUAAGUAUUCGUGUAGGAAAUG
RNAcentral lists this long non-coding RNA (2069 nucleotides) under Salvia miltiorrhiza (redroot sage). Its description in RNAcentral is "long non-coding RNA (SMIL_LNC007610)". The record is from RNAcentral. Lineage: Eukaryota; Viridiplantae; Streptophyta; Magnoliopsida; Lamiales; Lamiaceae.